UGGGGAAUAUUGGACAAUGGGCGCAAGCCUGAUCCAGCCAUGCCGCGUGAGUGAUGAAGGCCUUAGGGUUGUAAAGCUCUUUUAUCCGGGACGAUAAUGACGGUACCGGAGGAAUAAGCCCCGGCUAACUUCGUGCCAGCAGCCGCGGUAAUACGAAGGGGGCUAGCGUUGCUCGGAAUCACUGGGCGUAAAGGGCGCGUAGGCGGCGUUUUAAGUCGGGGGUGAAAGCCUGUGGCUCAACCACAGAAUGGCCUUCGAUACUGGGACGCUUGAGUAUGGUAGAGGUUGGUGGAACUGCGAGUGUAGAGGUGAAAUUCGUAGAUAUUCGCAAGAACACCGGUGGCGAAGGCGGCCAACUGGACCAUCACUGACGCUGAGGCGCGAAAGCGUGGGGAGCAAACAGGAUUAGAUACCCUGGUA
This 420-nucleotide ribosomal RNA is filed under the name uncultured bacterium. Its description in RNAcentral is "bacterial SSU rRNA". It matches the Rfam family "Bacterial small subunit ribosomal RNA", at positions 355 to 792 of the family's 1533-position model. The record is from RNAcentral.